UUGACAGUUUGGCUUCCCUGUUCUGGGUGGCAAAGCCUGUGGAGUACUCACCUACCUGCUGCAUGAAGGCAGCAUGGAGGGACUGUGGUGGAUUAUCUGCAAAGAUGGCCAAAAUUCUCUCAUCCCUGCAGGCACAUACAAGGAAAUUGAAGUAUACAGAAUGCUUAUUUGGUCUACUCAGUAUCAUCCUAAAUGUAUGUACCAAUGCUUAGGAGUUUGCAGUUCACCCGCAAACCUCAGCGAUCCAAGCUCCCCUGGAUGACCAUCACUCACCAAGAAAAGAGCAAUAACAGGACCUGUUUUGCUAAUCCAGGACUGUUCUCCAGCACUAACUCUAAAUAAUCCCUUCUGCUAGAGUCCACUUUCUGGAACCUGUUGGAGAAGACAUCUUACUCUUAUUGGAUCAUGCACAGUGCCUGAAGCAUUCUGUUGCAUGUAGAAGUCAGUAAAUUGCAGAUGUAAGAUUCAAAACCAGACUUCACAUCUACCGACUUCAGUGACCCUGAAAUUUGUUCACAGAGAGCAUUUAACAUAACUGUCUUCAUCAUCUCCUUCUCUACAUUAAAAAUUAUGGUUCACAAAGACGUUAUUGGUGAUUCAAUCUUGAGUCAUGAAAAGUCAACCUUGAGCCACAAAAAGUCAACCUUGAGCCAAGCAGAUUGGAGAGUCAUACAUGCCAUUCCUGGGACCAUCAAAAAUGGCAGAGGUCACACAAAAAGGCAAAACUUUUAAGAGGUGUUUUAAACGUCGUAUGG
RNAcentral lists this long non-coding RNA (755 nucleotides) under Homo sapiens (human). RNAcentral describes it as "long intergenic non-protein coding RNA 3156". The record is from RNAcentral. Lineage: Eukaryota; Metazoa; Chordata; Mammalia; Primates; Hominidae.